GUGCCAGCCGCCGCGGUAAUACAGAGGUGGCAAGCGUUGUUCGGAAUCACUGGGCAUAAAGGGCGCGUAGGCGGCGACCCAAGUCAGGUGUGAAAGCCCUCAGCUCAACUGGGGAAUUGCGCCUGAUACUAGGUCGCUCGAGUGUAGGAGGGGAGAGUGGAACUCCUAGUGGAGCGGUGAAAUGCGUAGAGAUUAGGAGGAACGCCGGUGGCGAAAGCGACUCUCUGGCCUACUACUGACGCUGAGGCGCGAAAGCUAGGGGAGCAAACGGGAUUAGAUACCCCUGUAGUCC
RNAcentral lists this ribosomal RNA (292 nucleotides) under uncultured bacterium. Its description in RNAcentral is "partial 16S ribosomal RNA". It matches the Rfam family "Bacterial small subunit ribosomal RNA", at positions 505 to 796 of the family's 1533-position model. The record is from RNAcentral.